Molecule: non-coding RNA, 31 nt
Filed under: Homo sapiens (human)
Lineage: Eukaryota; Metazoa; Chordata; Mammalia; Primates; Hominidae
Source: RNAcentral
CACUGACCAGACCUGCCACUCAAGGGGAAGC